GGACAGAUGGCCGAGCUGGUUAUGGCGCCAGGUUAAGGUCCUGGUCACGAAAGUGGCGUGGGUUCAAGUCCCACUCUGUUCA
Molecule: transfer RNA, 82 nt
Filed under: Blumeria graminis f. sp. tritici 96224
Lineage: Eukaryota; Fungi; Ascomycota; Leotiomycetes; Helotiales; Erysiphaceae
Also listed under: 1 other name
Description: tRNA-Leu (AAG) (tRNA-Leu-AAG-3-1)
Rfam family: tRNA
About the family: Transfer RNA (tRNA) molecules are approximately 80 nucleotides in length. Their secondary structure includes four short double-helical elements and three loops (D, anti-codon, and T loops).
Source: RNAcentral